Molecule: ribosomal RNA, 774 nt
Filed under: uncultured Neocallimastigales
Lineage: Eukaryota; Fungi; Neocallimastigomycota; Neocallimastigomycetes; Neocallimastigales
Description: partial large subunit ribosomal RNA
Rfam family: Eukaryotic large subunit ribosomal RNA
Source: RNAcentral
CGCAUCUGUGCAUGCAGCAUAUCAAUAAGCGGAGGAAAAGAAACUAACAAGGAUUCCCCUAGUAACGGCGAGUGAAGCGGGAAGAGCUCAAAUUUGAAAUCUUAAAGGGUUUCCCUUUACGAAUUGUAGUUUAAAGAAGUGUUUUCUGUUGAGGUUUUGGUAAAAGUUCUUUGGAAUAGGACAUCAUAGAGGGUGAGAAUCCCGUAUUUGACCUUUACUUUCAACUUUGUGAUACACUUUCAAAGAGUCGGAUUGUUUGGGAAUGCAGUCCAAAAUGGGUGGUAAAUUUCAUCUAAAGCUAAAUAUUGGCGAGAGACCGAUAGCGAACAAGUACCGUGAGGGAAAGAUGAAAAGAACUUUGAAAAGAGAGUUAAACAGUACGUGAAAUUGUCAAAAGGGAAGCGUUUGACACCAGUGUUGUUUUUCUGAAAAUCAAUUAAAGAACUGUUUAUGCUAAGUUGUUUAGACUUUAUCAGCUAUCUGUUUAGUUUUGAGCUUUUCUUUAAUGCACUUUUCAGUUAACAAGUCAACAUCAAUUUCUUUUGCUGUAAAAAAGCUUGAGGAAGGUGGCUUGAGAUUCGUCUUAAGUGUUUAUAGCCUCUUGCCUAUGCAGUCGGAGAGAUUGAGGUCUGCAGCGUAGAUCCUUCGGGGCUAAAUGCAUUUGUGCUAAGUUAUAGCAUUUUAUAGACAACUUGUUGACUAUGAUUUGUCUUGUAGCUUACUCGCUUAUGUUAUUUUACCUACGCUUAGGAUGUUGAGCGCAUGUCUCUCUCU